This 1430-nucleotide ribosomal RNA is filed under the name Mycobacterium intracellulare. Its description in RNAcentral is "bacterial LSU rRNA". It matches the Rfam family "Bacterial large subunit ribosomal RNA", at positions 1428 to 2740 of the family's 2925-position model. Lineage: Bacteria; Bacillati; Actinomycetota; Actinomycetes; Mycobacteriales; Mycobacteriaceae. The record is from RNAcentral.
GGUUGAUAUUCCCGUACCCGUGUAUGGGCGUCCCUGAUGAAUCAGCGGUACUAACCACCCAAAACCGGAUCGACCAUUCCCCUUCGGGGGCAUGGAGUUUCGGGGCUGCGUGGGACCUUCGCUGGUAGUAGUCAAGCAAUGGGGUGACGCAGGAAGGUAGCCGUACCAGUCAGUGGUAAUACUGGGGCAAGCCUGUAGGGAGAGCGAUAGGCAAAUCCGUCGCUCAUUAAUCCUGAGAGGUGAUGCAUAGCCGAUUGAGGUGAAUUCGGUGAUCCUCUGCUGCCAAGAAAAGCCUCUAGCGAGCACAUACACGGCCCGUACCCCAAACCAACACAGGUGGUCAGGUAGAGAAUACCAAGGCGUACGAGAUAACUAUGGUUAAGGAACUCGGCAAAAUGCCCCCGUAACUUCGGGAGAAGGGGGGCCGGAAUACCGUGAACACCCUUGCGGUGGGAGCGGGAUCCGGCCGCAGAAACCAGUGGGUAGCGACUGUUUACUAAAAACACAGGUCCGUGCGAAGUCGCAAGACGAUGUAUACGGACUGACGCCUGCCCGGUGCUGGAAGGUUAAGAGGACCCGUUAACCGUAAGGUGAAGCGGAGAAUUUAAGCCCCAGUAAACGGCGGUGGUAACUAUAACCAUCCUAAGGUAGCGAAAUUCCUUGUCGGGUAAGUUCCGACCUGCACGAAUGGCGUAACGACUUCCCAACUGUCUCAACCAUAGACUCGGCGAAAUUGCACUACGAGUAAAGAUGCUCGUUACGCGCGGCAGGACGAUAAGACCCCGGGACCUUCACUACAACUUGGUAUUGGUGUUCGGUACGGUUUGUGUAGGAUAGGUGGGAGACUGUGAAAUACAGACGCCAGUUUGUAUGGAGUCGUUGUUGAAAUACCACUCUGAUCGUAUUGGACACCUAACGUCGAACCCUUAUCGGGUUCACGGACAGUGCCUGGCGGGUAGUUUAACUGGGGCGGUUGCCUCCUAAAAUGUAACGGAGGCGCCCAAAGGUUCCCUCAACCUGGACGGCAAUCAGGUGACGAGUGUAAGUGCACAAGGGAGCUUGACUGCGAGACUUACAAGUCAAGCAGGGACGAAAGUCGGGACUAGUGAUCCGGCACCCCCGAGUGGAAGGGGUGUCGCUCAACGGAUAAAAGGUACCCCGGGGAUAACAGGCUGAUCUUCCCCAAGAGUCCAUAUCGACGGGAUGGUUUGGCACCUCGAUGUCGGCUCGUCGCAUCCUGGGGCUGGAGCAGGUCCCAAGGGUUGGGCUGUUCGCCCAUUAAAGCGGCACGCGAGCUGGGUUUAGAACGUCGUGAGACAGUUCGGUCUCUAUCCGCCGCGCGCGUCAGAAACUUGAGGAAACCUGUCCCUAGUACGAGAGGACCGGGACGGACGAACCUCUGGUAUACCAGUUGUCCACCAGGAGCACGG